Molecule: transfer RNA, 72 nt
Organism: Ovis aries (sheep)
Lineage: Eukaryota; Metazoa; Chordata; Mammalia; Artiodactyla; Bovidae
Rfam family: tRNA
About the family: Transfer RNA (tRNA) molecules are approximately 80 nucleotides in length.
Source: Rfam
UCCCUGGUGGCUCAGACGGUAAAGCAUCUGUCUGCAAAGCAAGAGACCCAGGUUCGAUCCCUGGGUCGGGAA